This 253-nucleotide ribosomal RNA is filed under the name uncultured bacterium. Its description in RNAcentral is "partial 16S ribosomal RNA". It matches the Rfam family "Bacterial small subunit ribosomal RNA", at positions 524 to 776 of the family's 1533-position model. The record is from RNAcentral.
UACGAAGGGGGCUAGCGUUGCUCGGAAUGACUGGGCGUAAAGGGCGCGUAGGCGGACGGCUUUGUCGGGCGUGAAAUUCCAGGGCUUAACCUUGGGGCUGCGUUCGAGACGGGUUGUCUAGAGUUUGGAAGAGGGUCGUGGAAUUCCUAGUGUAGCGGUGAAAUGCGUAGAGAUUAGGAAGAACACCAGUGGCGAAGGCGACUUACUGGACUGUAACUGACGCUGAGGCAUGAAAGCGUGGGGAGCAAACAGG